RNAcentral lists this small nuclear RNA (146 nucleotides) under Peromyscus maniculatus bairdii (prairie deer mouse). Its description in RNAcentral is "U1 spliceosomal RNA (ENSPEMG00000002160.2)". It matches the Rfam family "U1 spliceosomal RNA", at positions 1 to 149 of the family's 166-position model. Rfam says of the family: U1 is a small nuclear RNA (snRNA) component of the spliceosome (involved in pre-mRNA splicing). Lineage: Eukaryota; Metazoa; Chordata; Mammalia; Rodentia; Cricetidae. The record is from RNAcentral.
AUAUUUACUUGGCAGGAGAUAGAAUGGCCAAGAAGAUGGCUUUUGGGGGGUGAGGUUCAUCCAUUGCAGCUGCAAUGUGCUGACCUCAGCAAUUUCCCAAAAUUUGGGGAAACUUGACUGUAUAAAUUGUGGUAGCGGGAGACUGU